AGAAUCAACGCUGGCGGCGUGCCUAACACAUGCAAGUCGAACGCGAAGCCCGCCUUCGGGGGGUGGUAGCGUGGCGCACGGGUGAGUAACACGUGGGUAAUCUGCCUUCGGGUGGGGGAUAACGGCGCGAAAGCGUCGCUAAUACCGCAUAACGCAGCGGCACCACAUGGUGACAGUUGUUAAAGGGGGGAUCCUUUCGGGGACCUCCCGCCGGAAGAGGAGCCCGCGCUCGAUUAGCUAGUUGGUGAGGUAAUGGCUCACCAAGGCAGUGAUCGAUAGCC
This 281-nucleotide ribosomal RNA is filed under the name uncultured soil bacterium. Its description in RNAcentral is "partial 16S ribosomal RNA". It matches the Rfam family "Bacterial small subunit ribosomal RNA", at positions 26 to 288 of the family's 1533-position model. The record is from RNAcentral.